Molecule: ribosomal RNA, 253 nt
Filed under: uncultured bacterium
Lineage: Bacteria
Description: partial 16S ribosomal RNA
Rfam family: Bacterial small subunit ribosomal RNA
Source: RNAcentral
AACGUAGGAGACAAACGUUAUCCUGAGUUACUGGGCGUAAAGGGCGUGUAGGUGGUUUCGUAAGUCUGGCGUGAAAUAUCUCGGCUUAACCGAGGCAGGUCGUCGGAUACUGCGGAACUGGAGGACGGUAGAGGCGUGUGGAAUUCCGGGUGUAGUGGUGAAAUGCGUAGAGAUCCGGAGGAACACCAGUGGCGAAGGCGACACGCUGGGCCGUACCUGACACUGAUGCGCGACAGCAUGGGGAGCAAACAGG